GCACUGCCGCUGUUUCCACACUAAGAAUACUCAUAACCUAUCCCAACCUGAGUGGACAUAUAAAUUCAGAGGGAAAAAUCACAAACUAUACUAUACCGAUACAGCUAGAUAUCAAGAUUCUAAGGACACAAUGUCUAAACUAAAUUACCCAACAAACAGUUUGAAUCAUGAAUAGAAUAUAGUUAACAUAACCCCCCAUGCAAACGGUCAUCACGUAUCAGCUAGUAAGAAAGGAGGGAACAAAUCUUGAUUAACAGAACAAUGGAGCACCAUCUUUAGAGAUUGUACAAACUGUAAAACAAAACAAAAAACGGUCAGAGUAAAAAAACAUGACUGGAUAUAUAUACAGCUGGAUAUCAAGAUUCUCUGGAGAAAUGCUUAAACUAAAAUACUAAUAAAAAAUGAAUCAUGGGCCAUUCAAAAACAACUUCAUAUAGAUAUAUACCCAACAAAGAGUUUGAAUCAUGAAUAUGCAAUGCACAUCGCUGACAUGACCCACCAUGCAAACGAUCAUCAUAAAUACCUUUGGAACCCACAACUCAACAUAAACAUGACAAAGACAAACAUGUAUACCAAAUAGCAUCUGAAAACAUAUCAGGGAAGAUAAUUUUCUGGCAGAACCAAGCAUGCGUAUGCAACUAUCUAAAUAUAUGUGCUAAACAGCCACUGGAAACAUUGCUAUAGAACAGACCGGAUAAAGCAAUUUCCACACAGAACAAUGCAUGCAUGUUUGCACAACCAAUCAAACACAUGUAUAGAAUAUAUACUGACAAACAAUUAGUCUAGAAAGACUAACUAUGCCGGAGCAAGUUGAUCAUGAAACUCCAUACCAAGACAUCUCCAGAUUUUUCCGGAAAUGAGAGUUCAGUAAGCUACUACCUUCAGCCUCCUAACUGAUUUGAGAGCAACAUUUAUUAGUUUUU
RNAcentral lists this long non-coding RNA (923 nucleotides) under Triticum aestivum (bread wheat). RNAcentral describes it as "long non-coding RNA (TAES_LNC005207)". The record is from RNAcentral. Lineage: Eukaryota; Viridiplantae; Streptophyta; Magnoliopsida; Poales; Poaceae.